UCCCCGUCCGCCGCCGCCGCCCCCAUCCUCCCCGUCCGCCGCCGUCCCCAUCCUCCCCGUCCGCCGUCGCGCCGUCGCGGGUCUCCUCGCGCAAGCGCACAACCUCCGCCAAGGCCGCGCCCGAGGCCGACCGCGGGGCUCCUCGGCCAAGCGCGUGGCUACCGCCAAGGCCGCGCCCGAGGCUGACAAGAAGGCCACGGUCACCAAGCGCCCGCACGAAGGGAACCACGUCGGGGAAGAAGAAGUCGGCCCCAAGUCCGUCGCUGCUGCACGCCCUCUCUAGCCGCCUCUCAUCGUCCUCGCGCUCGGCAAAAGGAGGACGAGGACGUUGAGCGGACAUAGGCUAUCACUCUCUCUGCGGGCGAGCCCGAGUGCUACGGCAUUAGCGAGGACCUCCGCGAGUUUGUCAACGGCAUGACCAUGAGUUGGAGCUGUCGGGUGUGUCCACGGCAAAUAGAGGAAGAGAGAUUCCAAAGGGAGCAAUCUAGACGAGCAGAGAAACAAAGACAAAAGGAGGAACUCAGAAAAGAGAAAUAGAUGGCGAGGCAGAUGAGCGCUUGGAAUUGACUGCGCAAAGCAAAGGGUUACCCUCAAUGCUUUGUCUUGAUAGUGACACAUUGCAGCAGUUGGAGUCAUUCUGAGGGCAAAGUAUGUUGUUGGCACUGCUAAAGAAUCGAUGGCCAAGGCUGGUGGAGGCACAAAAUGGCUUGCCUGACAGGGAACUACCGGAGGUAAUCGAGGGUCUUUGUACCUUGCCAGGCGUUGGUCCAAAAGUUGCAGCCUGCAUUUGUCUGUUCUCUCUUGAUAAGAAUCAGGUUAUUCAUGUUGACACACACGUCUGGAAGGUAUGCUAUGUCUGGUUAACCAUUGUUGUAUUCUUGCUGUAAAAACGACUUAAUGAGGUGUGCUUUUCCACCACUAUAUUCUCUGUUCAUUAUCACAAAAUUAGGAUGAUCUGAUUGGGUUUAGUUAUAAUAGUAGUUUUCUGCUGAUAAGAAUCAGGUUAUUCCUGUUGACACACACGUCUGGAAGGUAUGCUAUGUCUGGUUAACCAUUGUUGUAUUCUUGCUGUAAAAACGACUUAAUGAGGUGUGCUUUUCCACCACUAUAUUCUCUGUUCAUUAUCACAAAAUUAGGAUGAUCUGAUUGGGUUUAGUUAUAAUAGUAGUUUUCUGCUGAUAAGAAUCAGGUUAUUCCUGUUGACACACAUGUCUGGAAGGUAUGCUAUGUCUGGUUAACCAUUGUUGUAUUCUUGCUGUAAAAAUGACUUAAUGAGGUGUGCUUUUCCACCACUAUAUUCUCUGUUCAUUAUCACAAAAUUAGGAUGAUCUGAUUGGGUUUAGUUAUAAUAGUAGUUUUCUGUUGGGUAACAACAUGUUCAAGGCUUCACCUAGAUGAAUUGUACGAGUUUGGACCAUGAUAACAACUAUACAUUUCCUAAAUGGAUCAUGUUUAAAUUUCAUGGUGUGUGGGUGCACCUAUUCUAAAUUACUAUAUUGUUGGGAACUAAAACUUUCAUCCUUUGAAAUGCAAUGGAACUUAUAAAGUAAACAACCACCACUGAAAUUUAUACACAAUGCAUGCUCUGUUUCAGAAUGAGAACAUGUUUUGUGGUAUCAAAAAUACAUUUGAACCUUGAGGAUGCAUGGUGGCAGUCAUCCCGCUGGACCAUGCCAUCAAUGGUAGCUAUACGACCUGCCCGUGCUUGCAGGUGUUAAUGUGGUCGUCCGUUUCCCGGACUACGAGGUUGGAUAAAUCAUACAAGUUGAAUGUGCUUGCAACCGGGAACCCGAUAUAUAUAGGCCCGAAUUAAGAUUUUAACCUAUUCCAAAGAGCCAACCGUUCGAGCUAGCCACGCUGUGAAAUGGCCGAGCAACAACAAUCUGACAUACAUCAGUCGACGAUGAAGAUCAGAUACGUAAUUUUACCUAUAAGCUUAUUUGCUUCGGAGGCUUAUUGUACUGCUACAGUUUUCUCCACGGCACGGACUCGAUGCCGGCGACCCUGCCGUUUCCACACCACCUUGAGGAGAAGCGCAACAUGACAAAUCAUAUUUUACUGUCCCUGUUUCCCGGUUUCCACAUCACGGCGACUCGAUCCGCCGCUCUCGGCCAUGGCACGCCUGAAUCAGUCAGAUUUAUCGAGGGACAAGACUGGCAAGCGCUCCUCCGUGUCGAUCUUCGACCGAGGUAGAUUGGUGAACUCAAGAGGCUGUUGGAGGGGGGUCAAGUAUGUUGGGUUAUAGAGGCGAGCCCCGACACAAUCAGGCAUUCUUACGUUAUGCACCUGAUCUCUACCAUGUAGAUGGAAUGGUCUAUGUGGGCUUGCCCGAGAUUGCCCCUCUUUGCAGGUGAAUUGGGCACUUUACAAACUCGACUUGUGUGCUUCCAUAAUCAAUAGUCCCGAUUGAAUGAGUUGUAUCGGUGAUGUAAACUCGCUUCAUGUAUGUAAUCAGUGUGACUUACUGUGCACAUAUAAGCUCUGAUAUAUUGUUCAUACACUUCUUA
Molecule: long non-coding RNA, 2507 nt
Organism: Triticum dicoccoides
Lineage: Eukaryota; Viridiplantae; Streptophyta; Magnoliopsida; Poales; Poaceae
Exons: 9
Source: RefSeq, a predicted model, not a curated record